AGUGAACGCUGGCGGUAGGCCUAACACAUGCAAGUCGAACGGCAGCACAGUAAGAGCUUGCUCUUACGGGUGGCGAGUGGCGGACGGGUGAGGAAUACAUCGGAAUCUACUUUUUCGUGGGGGAUAACGUAGGGAAACUUACGCUAAUACCGCAUACGACCUACGGGUGAAAGCAGGGGAUCUUCGGACCUUGCGCGAUUGAAUGAGCCGAUGUCGGAUUAGCUAGUUGGCGGGGUAAAGGCCCACCAAGGCGACGAUCCGUAGCUGGUCUGAGAGGAUGAUCAGCCACACUGGAACUGAGACACGGUCCAGACUCCUAAGGGAGGCAGCAGUGGGGAAUAUUGGACAAUGGGCGCAAGCAUGAUCCAGCCAUACCGCGUGGGUGAAGAAGGCCUUCGGGUUGUAAAGCCCUUUUGUUGGGAAAGAAAAGCAGCAGGUUAAUACCCCGCUGUUCUGACGGUACCAAAAGAAUAAGCACCGGCUAACUUCGUG
Molecule: ribosomal RNA, 492 nt
Filed under: uncultured bacterium
Lineage: Bacteria
Description: partial 16S ribosomal RNA
Rfam family: Bacterial small subunit ribosomal RNA
Source: RNAcentral